Molecule: transfer RNA, 89 nt
Filed under: Craterellus lutescens
Lineage: Eukaryota; Fungi; Basidiomycota; Agaricomycetes; Cantharellales; Hydnaceae
Description: Cantharellus lutescens tRNA-Ser
Rfam family: tRNA
About the family: Transfer RNA (tRNA) molecules are approximately 80 nucleotides in length. Their secondary structure includes four short double-helical elements and three loops (D, anti-codon, and T loops).
Source: RNAcentral
GGAUAUAUGGUAGAGUCUGGUUUAAUACGACCGUCUUGAAAACGGUUAAACAUAGUAAUGUUUCAUGAGUUCGAAUCUCAUUGUAUCCG